UUCAGGUACCGACCGGCACCGACGAAACCGGCCGACGCCGAACCGAUCCGACCGCUUCACAAGCCCACCGUAGAUGUCCGGCGCGGUGGUCGGCGACGAUCUGGACAAACCGAAGACGUCCGGUGCGGCAAGCGGUGGCUGUUUUGCACUCCGACGAGAAACCGCACCGCACCGUAGAUUGAAGAAAACCCAGAGAAGCCAUGAAAGCAAAUGCAAGGAAUAGGAAGAAGAAGAAAACGGCGCUGGACUUAACAUAAGGAUAGUCCCAGUAAGUCAGCAACGAAAGUCCUCAACCUCCGUCGCUUGCUGCCGCCACUUGCUGCCACCGCUUACUGCCACCGCAAUCUAGUGCUUGAUGCCGUGUUUUUUGGAGUUUCACCCUCUCCUCUCUCCUCUUUGUCACAAUAUUUUCAAGAGUUUCUAGUGAUGAUUCUGACUUCAGAUGCUCUUCCUUGCAAAUGUAAUGCUUUCUACCAGGUUUGUUUAUGUAAUUUAUUUUCAAUGGUUUUGUUUGAUCUUUUAUAGGUUUGGUUUAGUUUUUUUAUUUGGGUUUCUGUGAUUUGAAAUGGGUAUGUUUGAGAGAAAGAUUGUGAAUUUGUUUUCUUUUGAACUUUGUUUUUGGAA
This is a long non-coding RNA of Quercus lobata, 624 nucleotides long. RefSeq lists it as uncharacterized. Lineage: Eukaryota; Viridiplantae; Streptophyta; Magnoliopsida; Fagales; Fagaceae. The record is from RefSeq and is a predicted model, not a curated record. The transcript is spliced from 3 exons.